UCCGGUGCUCCCCCGGCACGGCCGAUCUGCAGUCGUGAGGGAGAGUGGAUCUCGAAGUGUGAGCCCUUGCCGCGACACUCCCUCCCGCACCGCGUGCGCUGCUUGCCCUGUGUGACACAUCCCGCAAGCUCGUUACCGUGCCCAGAUGCAGAGGUCUCUGCACUGAGACGAUCAUUGGAUUCUCAGCAUUUUCACUGGCAGUUCUUGGACCAGCUGGAUGGUUCCUUUGCCACCUUCCAAGCUCUAAAAAGAAAUAGAAAACAUCCCUUCAAAAUUAAGAUGUGAAGGCUGCAAUCAACUGUAAUAUUCCAAACUUGGAUUCUCUUGAAAGCCCUGACAUAGAAUAUAGCUAACUAAAGUCCCAGUUCACGCACUGUUAUCCAUCCUGUGUACCAGGUCCCAGGUCAGAAAGCUUUUGCAGAUUUUGUGGAACUGGACCCAGAAAUGAAAUGGUGUAGGGAUGCAAAAUAGUGUUAGGUCUACUCUGCCAUCACCUGCUGCAUUGGACCAGUCUGCACGUACCAAUCUGGAUCUGUCAUCAGGAACUGCGGGAAAUGGAAGAUUGGUGAGGAGGAUUGUAAACACGCUCGAGUGACCUGCAGUUUGGGUGUCAAAAAACACAUACUGCAUAUUAAUUGUUGUUUGACCUUGUGUGUUAGACAAGUAGAACAUCUGUGUUUAGAUAACAUAGGCCUGUUGUAGCCUUAGAGGCACCCUACUGAAUGUGCUUGAGAUUCUUGCCCUGCUGUGGGCAAGGUUAAAGCACAGUGGUAAAUUAUGCUUGUGCAAAUCCUUGAAAUACAGGAGAAAACAGCAGACUGGGUGAUCCUAUUGCAUGGAUCAAGCUUCACAGUGCUUGUGUCCCUGCUUGUGUGUCUCCUGAUUGCUGCUUUGGUGAUCUCUGGUUGGCGAGGUAACAGAUCAAAUUUACUCUCUGCAUUUAAUUUGUGGUUUUGAGGUUGUUCCUGUGUCCUGCCUGUGUUGACUCCUACUGGUACCAUCAAAGCUUUAAACUAAAUAAAUGGGAGAAAAAAAAUAUUUUUAAUAGUCAUCUCAGACAAAAAUUCUGAGAGUUUAAGAUGAUUUUCUCCAAAGUUUCUCUUUAAUCUUUACAUUCACAUUCUUUUGGUGUGGUCCCCCAGCCAAUCUACUCUUCCACAAGGAUAAAUGUUUUUCUGCAGGUCAUGAUUAUUAGAUACUUCACUUUAUUUUCAAUGUAUAGAUUAAAAUUUGUGACAUUUGAGAUAUAUUCCCAUGAUUGCUAUUUACAAUAAAUGCUUUGAUAAAUA
This is a long non-coding RNA of Empidonax traillii (willow flycatcher), 1289 nucleotides long. RefSeq lists it as uncharacterized. The transcript has 2 exons. Lineage: Eukaryota; Metazoa; Chordata; Aves; Passeriformes; Tyrannidae. The record is from RefSeq and is a predicted model, not a curated record.